This 253-nucleotide ribosomal RNA is filed under the name uncultured bacterium. RNAcentral describes it as "partial 16S ribosomal RNA". It matches the Rfam family "Bacterial small subunit ribosomal RNA", at positions 524 to 776 of the family's 1533-position model. The record is from RNAcentral.
GACGAACCGUGCGAACGUUAUUCGGAAUCACUGGGCUUAAAGGGCGCGUAGGCGGGCCGACAAGUCAGGGGUGAAAUCCUCCAGCCCAACUGGAGAAGCGCCUUUGGUACUGUCGGCCUCGAGGGGUGCAGGGGCAUGCGGAACUCAGGGUGGAGCGGUGAAAUGCGUAGAUAUCCUGAGGAACACCGGUGGCGAAGGCGGCAUCCUGGACCGACACUGACGCUGAGGAGCGAAAGCCAGGGGAGCAAACGGG